AAUAUUCGCGCGUUUGAGGCCACGCUCCAGUACUACCAACCAUUUACAGUUACGUCACCGUGAACAAGAACAAAGGACAACUUACUUUCCAAAUAAUCUUCGAGAUAAAGCAUUUUGAAGCAUGAUCCGCAGACCUCUAACUGAAAUAACUU
This is a long non-coding RNA of Manduca sexta (tobacco hornworm), 152 nucleotides long. RefSeq lists it as uncharacterized. The record is from RefSeq and is a predicted model, not a curated record. The transcript is spliced from 2 exons. NCBI's taxonomy places the organism in Eukaryota, Metazoa, Arthropoda, Insecta, Lepidoptera, Sphingidae.